Molecule: long non-coding RNA, 458 nt
Organism: Nothoprocta perdicaria
Lineage: Eukaryota; Metazoa; Chordata; Aves; Tinamiformes; Tinamidae
Exons: 3
Source: RefSeq, a predicted model, not a curated record
GGAGGAGGUGGAAGCCUGAAGUAUCACAUACAGACCUCCUGUAAAAAGAUGAGUCCUAGAAAAGAGAGGAACAGGAGCUCAGUCCUUCAAGGGAACCCUCUGCAAGAGAGGGUCUGAGCAGUUAUUAUAGCUGGACUUGUGAACUGGCUCACUCUACACAUAUCCUUCCAUUGCGAAAGGCUUCUUAAACUGCUCUUCAGAAAAUACCAGACAAAUGAGCUGAUAAAGCAACCUAGCUGAUGCAUCAAUGAAGGCCAUUUCAUUGCUGGUCACAAUGAGCCAACCACUCAGCCUAAGGGAGAGCUUGGCCUCUGGAUCAGUGAAAGCCAACUAGGUGAGAACUUUCUUCAGAUCUUGUGUUUCUGAGGCUGUAGAGGUGAGGUCAAAUCUGUCCUGUCUCCUGGUAAAGAUUUCUUAAUAAGUGAAUAACUUAAUAACUGAAUUCCUAACAGCCGAGC